GACGAACGCUGGCGGCGUGCCUAAUACAUGCAAGUAGAACGCUGAAGGAGGAGCUUGCUCUUCUGGAUGAGUUGCGAACGGGUGAGUAACGCGUAGGUAACCUGCCUGGUAGCGGGGGAUAACUAUUGGAAACGAUAGCUAAUACCGCAUAACAGUAGAUGUUGCAUGACAUUUACUUAAAAGGUGCAAUUGCAUCACUACCAGAUGGACCUGCGUUGUAUUAGCUAGUUGGUGGGGUAACGGCUCACCAAGGCGACGAUACAUAGCCGACCUGAGAGGGUGAUCGGCCACACUGGGACUGAGACACGGCCCAGACUCCUACGGGAGGCAGCAGUAGGGAAUCUUCGGCAAUGGACGGAAGUCUGACCGAGCAACGCCGCGUGAGUGAAGAAGGUUUUCGGAUCGUAAAGCUCUGUUGUAAGAGAAGAACGAGUGUGAGAGUGGAAAGUUCACACUGUGACGGUAUCUUACCAGGAAGGGACGGCUAACUACGUG
Molecule: ribosomal RNA, 495 nt
Filed under: uncultured bacterium
Lineage: Bacteria
Description: partial 16S ribosomal RNA
Rfam family: Bacterial small subunit ribosomal RNA
Source: RNAcentral